Molecule: ribosomal RNA, 464 nt
Filed under: Limosilactobacillus vaginalis
Lineage: Bacteria; Bacillati; Bacillota; Bacilli; Lactobacillales; Lactobacillaceae
Description: bacterial LSU rRNA
Rfam family: Bacterial large subunit ribosomal RNA
Source: RNAcentral
GGUUAAGUUAUGAAGGGCGCAUGGUGAAUGCCUUGGUACUAGGAGCCGAUGAAGGACGGGACUAACACCGAUAUGCUUCGGGGAGCGGUAAGUACGCUUUGAUCCGGAGAUUUCCGAAUGGGGAAACCCAACCAACUUAGUCGUUGGUUGCUUGACUAGUGAAUCUAUAGCUAGCAAGCGGUAGACGCAGUGAACUGAAACAUCUCAGUAGCUGCAGGAAGAGAAAGAAAAAUCGAUUCCCUCAGUAGCGGCGAGCGAACGGGGAAGAGCCCAAACCAACGAGCUUGCUCGUUGGGGUUGUAGGACUGAACAUUUGAGUUACCAAAGAGCGACGUAGUCGAAACAGUUGGGAAGCUGUGCCAGAGAUGGUGAAAGCCCAGUAGACGAAACGGCACUCUCUCAGUUCAGGAUCCUGAGUACGGCGGGACACGUGAAACCCCGUCGGAAGCAGCGAGGACCAUCUC